This 165-nucleotide ribosomal RNA is filed under the name uncultured bacterium. RNAcentral's name for it is "partial 16S ribosomal RNA". It matches the Rfam family "Bacterial small subunit ribosomal RNA", at positions 1368 to 1532 of the family's 1533-position model. The record is from RNAcentral.
ACGUUCUCGGGUCUUGUACACACCGCCCGUCACACCAUGGAAGUGGAUUGCACCAGAAGUAGAUAGUCUAACCUUAGGGAGGGCGUUUACCACGGUGUGCUUCAUGACUGGGGUGAAGUCGUAACAAGGUAACCGUAGGGGAACCUGUGGCUGGAUCACCUCCUU